RNAcentral lists this ribosomal RNA (253 nucleotides) under uncultured bacterium. RNAcentral describes it as "partial 16S ribosomal RNA". It matches the Rfam family "Bacterial small subunit ribosomal RNA", at positions 524 to 776 of the family's 1533-position model. The record is from RNAcentral.
UACGUAGGGUGCGAGCGUUGUCCGGAAUUAUUGGGCGUAAAGAGCUUGUAGGCGGUUUGUCGCGUCUGCUGUGAAAUCUCAAGGCUCAACCUUGAGCUUGCAGUGGGUACGGGCAGACUAGAGUGUGGUAGGGGAGACUGGAAUUCCUGGUGUAGCGGUGAAAUGCGCAGAUAUCAGGAGGAACACCGAUGGCGAAGGCAGGUCUCUGGGCCACUACUGACGCUGAGAAGCGAAAGCAUGGGGAGCGAACGGG